UGGCUAAGGUGUCUUGGCUAAUGUGUCUUGGCUAAGGUGUCUUGGCUAAGGUGUCUUGGCUAAGGUGUCUUGGCUAAUGUGUCUUGGCUAAGGUGUCUUGGCUAACGUGUCUUGGCUAAUGUGUCUUGGCUAAGGUGUCUUGGCUAAGGUGUCUUGGCUAAUGUGUCUUGGCUAAUGUGUCUUGGCUAAGGUGUCUUGGCUAAGGUGUCUUGGCUAAGGUGUGUUGGCUAAGGUGUCUUGGCUAAGGUGUCUUGGCUAAGGUGUCUUGGCUAAGGUGUCUUGGCUAAGGUGUCUUGGCUAAUGUGUCUUGGCUAAUGUGUCUUGGCUAAUGUGUCUUGGCUAAGGUGUCUUGGCUAAGGUGUCUUGGCUAAUGUGUCUUGGCUAAUGUGUCUUGGCUAAGGUGUCUUGGCUAAGGUGUCUUCGCUAAUGUGUCUUGGCUAAGGUGUCUUGGCUAAUGUGUCUUGGCUAAGGUGUCUUGGCUAAGGUGUCUUGGCUAAGGUGUCUUGGCUAAUGUGUCUUGGCUAAGGUGUCUUGGCUAAGGUGUCUUGGCUAAGGUGUCUUGGCUAAGGUGUCUUGGCUAAUGUGUCUUGGCUAAUGUGUCUUGGCUAAUGUGUCUUGGCUAAUGUGUCUUGGCUAAGGUGUCUCGGCUAAGGUGUCUUGGCUAAUGUGUCUUGGCUAAGGUGUCUUGGCUAAUGUGUCUUGGCUAAGGUGUCUUGGCUAAGGUGUCUUGGCUAAUGUGUCUUGGCUAAGGUGUCUUGGCUAAGGUGUCUUGGCUAAUGUGUCUUGGCUAAUGUGUCUUGGCUAAGGUGUCUUGGCUAAGGUGUCUCGGCUAAUGUGUCUUGGCUAAUGUGUCUUGGCUAAGGUGUCUUGGCUAAGGUGUCUUGGCUAAGGUGUCUUGGCUAAUGUGUCUUGGCUAAUGUGUCUUGGCUAAUGUGUCUUGGCUAAGGUGUCUUGGCUAAUGUGUCUUGGCUAAGGUGUCUUGGCUAAUGUGUCUUGGCUAAGGUGUCUUGGCUAAUGUGUCUUGGCUAAGGUGUCUUGGCUAAGGUGUCUUGGCUAAUGUGUCUUGGCUAAGGUGUCUUGGCUAAGGUGUCUUGGCUAAUGUGUCUCGACUAAUGUGUCUUGGCUAAUGUGUCUUGGCUAAUGCGUCUUGGCUAAUGUGUCUUGGCUAAGGUGUCUUGGCUAAGGUGUCUUGGCUAAUGUGUCUUGGCUAAUCUGCUUGGCUAAUGUGUCUUGGCUAAGGUGUCUUGGCUAAUGUGUCUUGGCUAAGGUGUCUUGGCUAAGGUGUCUUGGCUAAGGUGUCUCGGCUAAUGUGUCUUGGCUUAGGUGUCUUGGCUAAGGUGUCUUGGCUAAGGUGUCUUGGCUAAGGUGUCUCGGCUAAUGUGUCUUGGCUAAUGUGUCUUGGCUAAGGUGUCUUGGCUAAUGUGUCUUGGCUAAGGUAUCUUGGCUAAUGUGUCUUGGCUAAUGUGUCUUGGCUAAUGUGUCUCGGCUUAUGUGUCUUGGCUAAUGUGUCUUGGCUAAGGUGUCUUGGCUAAUGUGUCUUGGCUAAUGUGUCUUGGCUAAGGUGUCUUGGCUAAUGUGUCUUGGCUAAUGUGUCUUGGCUAAGGUGUCUUGGCUAAUGUGUCUCGGCUAAUGUGUCUUGGCUAAUGUGUCUUGGCUAAUGUGUCUUGGCUAAUGUGUCUUGGCUAAGGUGUCUUGGCUAAUGUGUCUUGGCUAAUGUGUCUUGGCUAAGGUGUCUUGGCUAAUGUGUCUUGGCUAAGGUGUCUUGGCUAAUGUGUCUUCGCUAAUGUGUCUUGGC
Long non-coding RNA from Anopheles funestus (African malaria mosquito), 1795 nucleotides. RefSeq lists it as uncharacterized. The transcript has 3 exons. The record is from RefSeq and is a predicted model, not a curated record. NCBI's taxonomy places the organism in Eukaryota, Metazoa, Arthropoda, Insecta, Diptera, Culicidae.